This 218-nucleotide small RNA is filed under the name Arabidopsis thaliana (thale cress). Its description in RNAcentral is "ATSL101840". The record is from RNAcentral. Lineage: Eukaryota; Viridiplantae; Streptophyta; Magnoliopsida; Brassicales; Brassicaceae.
ACUUCAGGUUUUUUUACUCAUUUUUCCUCUCUUUGGUGUGGAUCGUAUUUUUCUCCGUUCUCUGUUGCCCAUCAAGGUUGUGAGUUGAUAAUUUUUGUUAGAAGAAACAAACAUGAAAAUUGUAUAAAGACACAAACUUUGAGUUUGAGAAAGUGGAGCUUCACCAUUCUAGACGCAAAUCAACCUAGAAAUCCUAAUUUGAAAACAACGAUAAGUUU